GACGGCUGACGGAGUAAUGGGGCAGGCCGCCGGACCGUCGAAGGAUUGUGCGUGACUUCGGGCAGCCUCCUUUGGGAGGCCGUUUCCAUUCUCUUUUCACCUCGGUCCCCACCCCGGGACUCUGGGCCUCAGUUUUCUUAUCUGGAAAGAGGGGCGUGGAGUCGUCUCCCCGCCCACACUCCGCGGUGUUAGGGCAAACCGAGGGCGAGCUGCCCAGCAAAGGUGAGAGAGGAUGGAGACCUUCGGCUUGAGAGUGGAAGGGGCGCAUUCUGAACUUUAUCCCUUUGUUUUUGCUUCUGUCUUGUCAUAGAGGAGCGCUUUGUUUUUGGUCAUUUUCCUUGGGCCAUCAAGGCCUUCUCAUCCCGGAUUCUGGCCUCCUUCACGCCACGCCCCGUACCGCAGCGUCUCCCACAGCGUAGCCAGAGGGCGCUUCUGCUUAAAACCCUUCACCAGUCUUCCCAUUGCCUCCGGAAUUAAACCCACAUUCCUCAGUGUCAAUCUAAAGGCCCUUCAGGAUCUGGACUCCACCUUCUUGCAACACUCUGAACUUCUCUGGAAGCUGGGAAGCCCUAAGCAAUUGUUCUCUCACGUGGGUCCCUCCACCCUGCACUCAGCUAAUGCCUCACACUCUUCAAGCCCCAGCCUAGACGCUGCCUCCUCAGUGAAGCCUUCCCAGAUGCCCGGCUCCAUAUGAGGUGUUGACCUGGCAUGCAGUCCCUGUGGCUCCUGUGUGGCCCCAUUUCUGCCCUCUGAAGCAACAGAGUCCACGCACCAGAUGUUACAAAACCUCCCUACCUUGGCUGCCCAUCUCUGCAAAUAUGUGACCAGACUAGAGUGGUCAACCCCAGGGAUCUGCCCACUGAUUCCACAUACCCAGAAUGCCUUGGGUGGCAGAGGGACACCACCGAACUUUGAGAAGCAGCUCUGAGUUUGUGAACAUUGGAUGCCGAUAAUUAUCCAGCUGGCCGCUGUGGGCGCGGUAGGCGGUGAAACCCUCCAACGUCGGUUUGGAAGCUCGAGGUUUCACCCACAAAGGUAGGUCGAAGCGGGACCGAUCCGGGAGGCUGCGCUCCCCAGACAACGCGUAGAGCCGCCCGCGCCGGUGCCCGCUUCAGCUCACUAUCCUUGGGUGGGGGAGCGGGAAGAGGAUCUGGCACGAGGGGGACGAACCCACGUGUACCCAGGUCUUAGCUCCAUCUGGAGUUCUCUGCCCCUGCGCCCGCAGGCCCCGGGCGCCCCCUGGAGGCGGUGAGAGCCCCGAAUGCGCAGCACACGCCCAGGAAGGCGCUGGCUUGAACAACCUACCCAUCAACUAGAAAAGUACCCCCAUAAAAAUGGGCAAAGGACAGGAACAGAGGCAUUUGAGAUGAAACACAAACGCCCAAUAAGACAUUAAGCUGAUGUUUACAUAGGCAGGAUCUGUUGCAAGCCCUUAUAUGCAUCAGCUCCUUUAGAUCUCUCAACAGAGCUACUAGGGAGUAUUCCCAUUCCAUAGAUGAGUAAACUGAAGCACAGGAGACUAAGUGACUUGCUCAAGGUUAUACAGUAAGUGGCAGGGCCAGUAUCUGACCCCGCAGCCUGGCACCAGAGUCUUAGGGCCUUACUCACUGCACCAGACUGUUUCUCAACAUGUGGAAAAUAUACGCUCUGGCUAAAAACCAAAGUAUAAAUUAAAACAAUUCAUUCAGUAAAUUAAUUUGUCCUACAAGUAUUUAUUGGAUGCCCGUUGUGAGCCAGGCCCUAUUAUGGGUGCAGGGGAAUAGACACUAAAACACACAAAACAUUAAGUUUACAUUCCAGUGGGGAGAGAGACAGACAGUAAACAUGAGACAAUAUUCUAUGGCAGGUGGGCUAGUGCAUGUGGAAAAAUAGCAGGGAAAGGGGGAGAGGGAGGGCUAUUUAAAUCAGGUGUCAGGUGGACCUCUUUGAGAAGGUGACACUUGAGCUGAGACCUAAAGAAAGGGAAGCCUCGUGAUUAUCAGUGAGAGGAGCAUUCCAGGCAGAGGGAAAGUCCCUGAGGCCGGUGCUGAAGGUGCUGUCCACGUGGACAGGAGGUGGUAGGCUCCUUCCUGGCCUCCCUGGUCCAUCGCCAGUGCCCAGGGCCAUACGAGGUGUUCAGGGAGGACUUGCCUGCUAACCAUUAAGUGAGGAUAGCACCUGUUUUUUGCCCUGGGCAUUUGCUUACUUCCCUGCAGCCGGUCCCAUGUGACGACUGUCCCCAUGAGUCUCAGCAGAGGGUGGGAUGAUCUGGAGACGUGGAAGGGAAGCCCCCACUAAUAUUUAGGUGGAGAUAACUAACCCAGAUUCUGGCCCUCUGAACUGGGAUGGCAGCAAAAGUCAGCCCUGUAAAAUGCAAUGAGAGAGGUUUGAUUACCAGGAGGGACCAUCUAACCCAUAUCCCAGACUCUGAGAGGUCAGCCCACACAGGGGCCUGAGGGAGCCGGGGAUGAGUGCGCUCUGCACAUACCGAUGGGCCCCAGCGGGAUCCUGGGUGCCCAGGCGUCUGUGGUCUCUCUGCUUCACUAGAUCUUGGCGGCAUCUAGAAUUCAGAAGUGAACUUCCCUUCAGUGAGCUCCCUGUCUGUUGCCCUGGGGUGGAAGGGCCAGGCCAUGACUGUUAUCUGCAUGGCCUACUUUCCUCCAGAGACAGAAGCCCAGAGUAAGGUCAAAAGGAGACCAGGUGGCCCCGGAGGAGGCGAACCCAGUUCUUUCCCAGUGCCUGCCACUUUCCUUGCUGUGGCCGAAAGGCCAUUCCCUUCCCCACUGGUGUGGCCUCAUCACAUCCCUUUGAUUAGAUGAAUCACCUCUAAAAAUUGCUUAUGUUCCAUAUGGUGAACUGCUCUUUUGUUCAGCGCUGAAUACUUCUGUUGAUUCUUGUGUCCACCUGGGCUCUUUUGAGUCCUGCUUAGACCAGCUUAUGAAGGGGUUUUCAAGAUGAGCACAAACUGGGCCAGAACCUGGCACAGAGGGCAGGUGAGAGUGAGAGCCACUCUGGGGUCACUGGUUUCUUCUCCAUGUCUCUCCCAGGGUCACACAGUCUCUCUCUGAGCUUGCUUUGCUCUCUUCUCUCUCCUGACCAACAGCUCCUUUGUAUCUCCUUAACUCUGAGUUUCCUUUCCCUGUCUCCUAGCUUCUGUUUCCCGCUAGUUUCUGCUUUCAUGUAUCUGAACACACUAUUGAUCUGAACAUCUCCUGACCUCUCCCUUUCCUCCUUUCCGUGCCUGCACCAGCUGCUAACUGCCUCAUUGCUGGACUUCUUCAUUCAUGUUCCCAAGCUCACUCACCUAUUUUGUGCCACGGCACAUCAUAUGUCUCUGGAUUGGUUGCUUUGGGUCAUGGUCCCCUCCUGGUCCAAUCAGUGGGGCCAAGAAGGGAAGGCACUAAGGGGGCCGGCACAAGGCUGUCUCUCCCACCAGUGCCGUGGGUGAUGCAGGCACCACUAUUAGACUGUCUGCUAGAGUCCCAGAUUCAUUAAUUAUUUUUAUCUGUUUACUCAUGCUUGAGUUUCAUUUGUUGACCUUUGUUAUUGUUGCCUAGAGGUCUUUUAAGGAUCCUUAAAAAUUCUUCAGCCACCCAGCUUGGUUCACUGUGGAGGCUCCUACCUAGAGGCCUGGCAGAGGGAGGGUCAUUCAUAGUAAAACAAACAGUAAGUCAUUUCCCCUUCCCUCUUUAGUCUCACCUUUCAUCAAACAAGGGAGAAGGAACCAUAUUUAAUAAACAUCAUCCAUUAGAUUAGAUCAACAGUCUCCGAACAUUGCAAUUCUUCCAGAAACAGUAUCUCUCUUGCCCUCACAGAAGAGCAUGUGGUCAAGAGGAAAUUGAAUAAAGUUCUUUAAUCAGCUACAGUAGUAUUUGAAUCAUUUAAUUUAAUGGAUCUGACAACCACAAUUUAUUUUUUAGGCCAAUUUUAGCCAACCAGGAGAGCUGGCCCAGUCUGACCCAUGCUUAAUAAAUCACCUCCUUGCCUGAUUGUAGAAAGUUUGGGGAAGAGAUUUUUCUGGGGCUUUUCAAACAUAAUCAAAACCAAUCUGCCAUGCUGUGUAUGCCUGGCAGGAGUCCUUGGCCAUGCUCCCUUCACAUGGCCCUGUGGCUGUAGAGUGAGCCCUCGGGCUGGAGGGAGCUAAGGACACAAGGCAGGGAGCUGUCACCCUCGCAGCCUGUGCUUUUUAUUCCUGGCUGCAGGUUCGCAUGGCCAGGAAAACAAGUCAAAUCAAAUUAGAUGCCAGACACAUGCUGCUUAGUGCAUCUCACCCUCUACUGCCUCAGGCUCUUCAACACCUGCUGGAACCUCCUCAUUGGAAAAAAUGAAAGAGGAGCUUCUGAUUCAAAGUAACACCCCCUGGACCCUCGAUGUGGCCUCUACCAGAGUUACGUUAAGUCACCCGUGAAGUCCCAGUAAGGGGUGGAAUGCAAGACCCCUCCUUCAGAACCAGUCUGACGUCAGCUGCAUCUGAGCCCCUGGCAGGCAUCUCCUCUGACCUGCCGGGCAGAUGUGGUUGGGCUGAGAAAAACCCAUGGGACUUCAUUCUGUUCCUACUGCAAGCAACAGCCACGUGAAAUCAAGGGGCUUGAUUUCAGGCCAGUCUUCGCAUUUUUUUCCAUCUAUUCCAAAGAAACAAUAUGGCAGGAAGGAGGCUAGGGGACCAAGGCAGGGCUGGUGGUCUUCUUGGGAGUAUGUAGCAUUCUUGGAGACAUAGUAGUGAUAAGUAAGUGGCAUUAAGAAAGGAGGAAUCUGGUGUGGGUCAGUGCAUGCAGGGAAUUGUAAGUUUUUCGUGAAAUCCAGUUUCUUAGAGUUUCUUAGUUGGGGAUGUAUUGAUGUCAGAAUAGAACCAUCAACAGCCAAGGUUACAAGGGGGAGUUGUGUCCCUGCAGGGAUCCAGGGAAAUCCUGAGCUGGAGCCAAAUGUGAGAGCCCUCCAGGCCUCCUGGGAACUGUCCAGUCACAGGCAGCACCUCCAUGGUGCUGGACCUGGGGCUGCUCACCCAUUUUCUAGCUCUGGGCACCCCCUUCUCUGCAGAUGAACCCUUGGCUCCUGCUCCCCCCAAAACCUGAACUCACACAAGCAUGACUCUGGGUUCACUAAUUCUAGUCAUGACACUUGAUCCAGUAGCUUGAGAGCCACUAUUAACCAAGGAGACCCCCUUCUGGCUCCUUCAUGGGGGUCUCCAGGGGACAGAGUGGCUCGUGCACUCUUGUCAAGGUCCUGGGCAGCCAGGGCCACUGGCGUUUGUCAGGAAGCCCCCCUGCCCCAGAACCUCCUCGGAGGGCAUCUAAACAACAGCUGCCCAUACUUGAUAAUGGGGGUGGGGACAGAGAUUUGGGGGAGGGCUGGGGAAGCCCCUCCUCCCCUAUUGGCACCCCAACCAGGCCUGACUUUUCCAAUUAAACUUUGACUCUGCCAUUUACUCCUAUGUACCCUUGAGCCCUGUUCUGAAUUUCUGAUCCUCAAAAGUAGAACAGGGCUAACAGGAGCCCUUCCCUUCCAGGGUUGCUGUGAAAAUUGAGAUAAGAGUUCGAGGGCAUAAACUAUUUCAGAAAUAAUAAAGAUAAUAGAUCUUUUUAACCUAGAUGCAACCAGAGAUCAUAGAAAAUGUAGAUGAGUGUAGACUGGAGAUACGAUCUUGUUCUAGAAAGAUGAAUAUGUUUUGAAUUGCCACAAGAAUGAAGUACAUUUCGUUAAAGAAAAAAGUAAGGUAAUUUAUGCACAGCCCUACAAACAUGACUCAUAAAAUAGAACUAACUAUAAAACAGUUUCUCUUUGUCUCCCUUUGUCCUUUAAAUGUACUUAUGGCGCUACCUUUUCCCUAUAGCCCCUGGAUGAAAUCUAAGCUAAAUCGCCUACUGACCCCUUCUUCACCCCUUGGCUGAUGUCUUUUUGUUCCUCCUGGAGGCUUUCUUGAUCAGGCUAUAAGACAACCCCAUGCUGGCUCUCUCAUGUCAGCAGCCACCUCUCAUCCUCUGGAAGUGUUCGCUCCUCCUUUGCCCCCCUGAUCUCUGGGCAUGCAGGCGGAUCCCGACGCGGCUGCUCUCCUAGCUGCACUGCUAAGCCAUCUGGCCAGCCUGUCUCCUGCCAUCAGGAUUUCUCUGGCAUGAGUCGCCCCAGUUCACUGUGUCCCUGAAGCUCCAAAGGACAUGUCUUGAGCUUUCUGCGUGGUCUCACAGAAGCUCCUUUCCCCAAGCUUGAGGUGAGGAGCAAGCAUCCUUCACUAUCCUCCUGGGAAGAGGAGAUUCACAGCACCAACUCUCCAGAUAUGCCCACAGAGCCCAGCACACUGCAAAUGCCCAGUAAAUGGCAGCCAUCCCGGGCUCCUGAUCCUGCCUCCCAGGGCUGAGGAAAGGGCUCUGUGGCCACUGGGCCUUGACUGCCCCUGUCCUAAGCAGUUCUAAGCCCUAAGUCCCAAGGGCAAUCCCAGGUCCCUAAGUGACACAGUUAUUGAGAAGAGAAACUGGGAUUCCACUCCAAGCCAAAAUUGCCUUCCUGGUCUUUGCCAACUGUCUCCAGGGAAAAGAAUACUCCCCACCCCUACAUUAUGAGGGUAGGUGAGCAGGUGAGAAGAAAGGUGUCCCGGACAGCCACAGAAACAUGGUGGAUGUGGCAGUGUCCCAAGCAGGCACCAAACAACCCCCACAUUGGCUGCCCUGCUGGAUAUGCUGUCCUGUUAAGGACCUACUCAGGGAGCCCAAUGAGAGCUGAACUGUGAGGCCCCUUGCUCAGGGUGACCAAAGGGGUUUCAGGAGGUGCCAGGAUUGGAGGCAGAAUGAAAAACAUGCCCCAGGAAAGAGAAGAUGAGAAAGCUGGGGAAAGGAAGGCAGUAGGUGUAGGAGGGAGGGAGGACCCGAGUCAGAGUUGUCUUGGGCACAAACCUAGGGUCUGAGGGUCAGCCCAGAAGCCCUGGGGCAGGGAUCUGGGUCCUGUUUUCGGAGUGGCCCCGGAGGAGACAAAUGGUCUGGAAGGCAGUGCCCUAAGAAUGUCCACACCAGCAAGCCUAUCUCAGAUGAUUAAGUGGCAGCAGAUAAAUUUAACUAAAUGUGAGUAAUGGGAACACAAAGGGGAAGUGAAGAGAAAUAGAAUAUUUUAGCAACAUAAGGAAAUGAGAAGAAAAUGACUUUGCAAUGAAAUGUCAAACUUCUGUGCCUGGAGGAGAUGUAAUCUGGUCAUUGCAGGCUUAGGGGAGUGGGGGAGUCUGUGGUUAUUUCAAGAAAAUUUUAAUUCACUUUAAUUUAAUAACAUAUGGCCAGAUUCUUUUGGGGCAAUGUCAGGAGACAGAACUGGGAGUCAGAGAGUGCCAGCUCUGCUAACUGGGGUGUUUUUGGUUGUUUUACAAGGAGAAGCUGUACUUAAAUUCAUUUCACCUAUCCAUCCAUUCAUUCAGGGAGUGAAUCUUAAAACCUGAGGAUUAAGAAGACAAAAGACACAGUCCUGCCUACUCCUGCCCUCAGGAGAUCCUGGUCAGUUGGGGUGACAGACAAGUGAACAGAAAGUUACAGGGUAGGGACACAUUCUGGACCUAAUACUUGAUGCUCAAUAGAAGUUUGUAGAAUGAAAGCAUGAUUGAAAGGUUGGUUCUGAAAAGGCACCAAAAAGGAGUGAAUAUCAAGGUGGGUCUUGAAAGAUGGGUUCCCCAGCUAGGCAUGUAAGUCAAGGGAAGUCCAGGUAGAAGGGACUGCGUGUGACAGGGUAGAAUGGACCACAUGUAGCAAAGCGGUGCUGAUUAUAAUCAUGGGGCUGGAGGAGAUUGCCCAGGGAGAGGGGCAGGGUGAGAAGAGGAAGAGGACAAAGAAGAGACACAGGAUCCAUGGACCCUGAUGAGAAAUAACACCCUGAGGAAGGCAUGCACUGAAGACCUCCCAGUCCACUAUUACUAUCGCUGAAAUCUCUACUGCAGCCCACAGUGCCUAUUCAUCCUUGGAGCUUCAACUGAGACAUCGCAUCCCCCAAGAAGUUUUUCUGGCUCAGGCUGGGGUGAGUCCCCCUUCCCCACGCAUGCUCCCAGCACACCCUGUGCCACCAUCCUUGUCACGGCCCACCCCAGCCCCAUGUUGGGUUCGUUUGUCUGUAUGCCUGCCCAUCUCCCAACUGAAGCUGCCAUGCCCAGCUCUGGUGGUGCCCCGACUACACUGGUGCCUCUCUGGAUCCUGGCCAGGCUGUCCUGUCUAUGGGAUCCCAUCCUAAGGAUGGACAAAGUCCAUCCGGAAAAGCGGUUCCAGAAGCUGAGGUCUGAAUUAAGGGCUGUUGGCUGGGUCGGAGGGUGGAGUCUGACCAAGGGAAGAGUGUUUUAGUUCAUAUCACAUCGAACUUUUGCACUUUUAGAGGGAUUCUGGAAGUGCCCUGGGUAACAGCCCUUCUUAUUCCCAGAACUCUGGCUGGGAGGGGUGGGUGGUUAGGGUUAUUGGGCCUGGGCAGCAAAGCCAGAGAAACAUGGCCCCAGGGCAGAGAAGCCGGAAUGGUUGGACCGGCGGGACGGGGAGCGGGCCCGCUGAAGCCAAGGCUCAGGACGGGGCCUAGCAGAGAGGGGCCUGUACGAAAGCCGCCUCUUUCGACAGAGCUGCCUGCGGAACACGCCGCCCAAGGGAAAAAUGACAAAGCUGUAGGUGUCCGGAAUGUCCGCUAGGGGGAAACAGAGGCUAAGCCACCUGACGGGUAGCCAUGGUAACCGCAGAGCCAGCUGCUGAGUUAUCCCUAGACUCUGGCAGGGAGGUAAGGAGAACGCCCAAGCAGGGUGUUGCGAAUGCUCGCGGGUCUGUGGCCAUCAGCUCCAGGCAAGGACGAAGGACCCAGGUGACUUUAAUGUUUUCUCACCUCCACCCAAGUCACACUUUUGCCGAUUGAGCCAGGCAUAGCAGUUGUGGAAGAAAAAUAAAAUGGGGUUUUGGAUCAGCCAAACCAGAUCCUUCAUUUUAAAGAUGAAAUAGAAACCCAGAGAGGGAAAGACACUUGCUGGAGACCACACAACAGCAGUCCUGUAAAUAGAGCUGAAGAGAAACUGGUGGAAAAAAGGAAGAAAAGUAUGCAAAUGACCAAAGACCAAUCUGGCAAUGUGCUCUAAUUUUUUUAUUACCAUUUUUUAAUUUAAAAUGUUUUAAACACACAUGUGUGUAUGCAUAUACAUAAUGCUGCAAUGUAACAAGAAUCUCUUUUAGCCGGUCACAUGCAUCUUUUCCUUCCUGUACCAUUUUCUUCCUUCUCCAAUUAGGGUCUUUUCCUUCUCUGGGCUUCUAUUGCUUCUAUAAAAUGAAGAAGCUGGCCUAGCUGAUCUCAAACCCCAUCACUGUCUAUAAUAAAGCAAAGCCUUCAUUUCAUGAACUCAGCCCAGUUAACUGGGCACACGAAUAGGUAAGGACUUCCUGGAGUGAGAGACUGCUUGGCAGCCAGAUGUCUCUGUAACUGGGCCCCUGACAGGCUAGCCCAGGUCCGUUGGGUUCAUGUAUCUGGUUGCAAUGUUGGAGGACAUUAGCCAUGAACAAAAACUACCUCCACGAGAAUAUUUGAGAGUUAGUUAACUUGCAAGUUUAUUUUUAAAACUCAAAGACAUUAAGAAAUAGCCUCUAGACACUCAUCAUGAUGGGGAAAAAACUCUCAAAUCCAAACAUAGUUAAUUCAGUAAACAUCAUUUGAGAGUAAUCUUGUUUCAUUUCUAGUCCCUCAUUCUUUCUCUGCCCUCCUUCUCUAUCCUGUUCUUCGCUCAUUUUUUCUACUUUCUGAUCUCUAAGCAAAGCCCCUUGUUUGGCUGCAAGAGCCCUCAGAUGCCAUUUGCAUCUUGGAAGGCCCAAUGGGAUAAAUCUCCCCACACAACCAACCAUAUCCCAAGGUCAUUGAACAUCCUGGUCUCAGGGGGUACAGAGGUAUCUGGGGAGAGCCUUCCUUGAGUAGACAUUUUUCAUGAUUCCAAACCCAUGAGGGGAGCCUGGGAUCAAACAGACUAGGCCACAGGGUCAGGGCAAAGAUGGGAUGCUAGGGUGCUCCUAGGGCCCAUCCCGUCAACUGACAAAUGAGGAGACUUAAUAAACAAGGAGGCAAGCGACUGGCCUGAGGAGAACCUGUCUGGGAGAGCCAGAUGGCUGAGCCAGGAGCCAAAGUGAGGUCUCCUGACCCCUGGCCCUUGUUACUUGCAGGGACUACAUUGUCCCUGAGGUAACAUCACUUGAUUCUGGCCUGAGUCACCACAGCAGAGAUGAACCAAGAGUCUGUGGGUCCCUUCAGCUUGGCUCGGGGUGGCUGGAGACCACCAGGGAGGUUUUGUGAGGCAAUCUGGAGCAGCAGGGGCUCAGAAAAUUUGAGCUGUAGGUGCUCAGUGAACUUUUGUUGAAUUUAAAACAGUUUGGGGGCUUGUGGAGGCUUCAAGCUUGACUUGAGGGUGGGCUGGCAGGGUCAGUAAUGGUCAAGAAACUGACCAAGAUCAAACCUUAUCAGGUGUCACCAUGGGGUGUCUGUGACAAGGCCCCAGAUGCUCACAACUCACUAUGUGUGUCUGGGGGACUGAGUGUCCAGUUUUUCCCUUUUCUACCUUCCCUACCCUGUAUGUCUGAGGAAAGAACUUUCAUUAGAUUGCACCAGAGACUAACUGGUACAUCCAUACAAUAUAAUAGUACUCAGCAAUAAAAAGAAAUCAACUAUUGAUACACACAAUGACUUAGAUGGACUUCAAGGGCAUUAUUCUGAGUGGAAAAAUAGGCCAGUCUCAAAAGGUCACAUACUGUAUUAUUCCAUUUAUAUAACAUUCUAGAAAUUACAAAAGUAUAGAGAUGGAGAACAGACCAGUGGUUGUCAUGGAUUAGAGAAGGGAGCGAGGCAGGUAUCACUAUGACAGCACAGGGAGUUCUUUUGUGGUGAUGGUAGCUUUGUGUCUUGAAUGUGGUGAUGGUUGUAUUAUUCUAUACAUAUGAUAAAGUGCCAUAGAAUUAUACACUCAGGACAUUAAAAAAUACAUGCAAAAUAGGUAAAAUCUAAGUAAGGUUUGUAGACUAGUUAAUUGUAUUGUACCAAUAUCACUUCUCUGGUUUUGAUAAUGUGUUAUAGUUACAUAAAAUGCCAUUAUGGGGGCAGCUGGAUACUGGGUACAUGGAACCUCUCUGUACUACUUUUUGUACAUUCUUGUGAGUCUAUAAUUACCUCAAAAUAAGAAUUUUAAUAAAAACUGUACUAGUGAGUAGCUUUAUUCUGUUUUGAAUGUUUUGAGUUUGGAGGUGGUUAGCGUAAUGUAUCAUCUAGGACUCUAGUUACAAGAGUCAGAGACGCCAUUUUAAACUAGCAUAGGACAAAAAGGACAUUAUUGGUGCAUGUGAUCAAACUAUGGAACAGCGGGGAUAGAGCUGCACACACAAGUCCAGCUAAUGUAGGAAUCACACAGACAAAAUCCUCUUUCUUGUUUUCUCUCUCAUUCCCCUUUCCCAUCCCCUUCUCCAAUCCCCCAUCUCCCAUCCCUUCAUAGAAGAGGGAGAAGAACUUCUCCCAAAGAAAGGGGAUGCUGUUACUGAGAUAUGAGGGAAGGGAUGUUGGGCAGAGGGGGAGAAAAGAUGUCCAUUACAGCAUGUUAAAUGGGGUAACAUUUUUAAAAUUUAUUCAUUUAUUUAUUCAGGCUUCACCAGGCCUUAAUUGUGGCAU
Aethalodelphis obliquidens (Pacific white-sided dolphin) is the source of this 11601-nucleotide long non-coding RNA. RefSeq lists it as uncharacterized. The transcript has 4 exons. The record is from RefSeq and is a predicted model, not a curated record. Lineage: Eukaryota; Metazoa; Chordata; Mammalia; Artiodactyla; Delphinidae.